CUUUGACGUCUCGCCACCAAUGUAAAUAAAGUAUGCAAAACUGAUGAAGAAUCCAGACGAGGAUGCUUGCAAACUCUACCAUUCCAAGAUAUCCAUCGAUCCAAGUAGCUUCCUCGUGUGCAUUGAAGGUUUACUAGAGGUGUAUGAAUUUUGUUUUGGGAUAGCAACCAGACCGCUUCACCUACACUUAGGGGCUGUUUGAUAUAUGUUCUAACUGGGUCCAAAGAGGGAUUGGGUAAAAAAAGACAAUUGGCAUGUUUGAUAUUGAUCUAAAAUUCAAGGACUCGGUCCAAAACAUGGACUCGAUCCAAGGUUUUCAUCAGAUUCGGUCCCCUUUUUUCUAUUGAUGGAACGAGAACAAAAGUAAUCAAUUCCCAUAUUGCCCUAUUCUUUCACGCCUCCACUGAAGUUGCUCGCUGUUAUCGACUGCUUCUAUUACCUUUCACGUCCAGUCGUCUUCUUCAUCCGACGAAGCAACCGAAGACAACUUUUUCUCCCUCUCCAGUUUCUGUAUUCUCUGGAAUUUUCUCCCCCUUUUACCAUUGUCGACGCAACCCUCCUCCUCCACGUACUCCAACGUAACGAUUCUCCUCCAUUUACCCAGCGACGCAUCUGGACUCAACAUACUCCAUCGUAGGUCAUCCAUCACCGCCCUUAUCCUCCAUCUCUGCCGUGACUGUAUUUUGAGCCGAAUGCAAUCAAGAUUGAAGCAUCUUUGAUCAACAUUGUGGAAAAAAAGGAAAAGAAUAUGCAUCUUUGUUGUCAAAUAUGGUUGAUGGUGUCCCAAAGAAACCAAGAAGUUCUCAAUCACUCAAUGAACCUACAAACGUAUAUAUUAUAUAUUGUAGAUUAAUGGUUAUUUGUAUUGAAAAUUGUUAUGUGCUUGUAUACAUCUUUUUUAAAUAAUGGUUGUAAAUUACAUCAUUUUGUAUAUUAUAUCAUCUUGUUUUUGAGUAUUCAAUCAAA
Lactuca sativa (garden lettuce) is the source of this 966-nucleotide long non-coding RNA. RefSeq lists it as uncharacterized. The record is from RefSeq and is a predicted model, not a curated record. Lineage: Eukaryota; Viridiplantae; Streptophyta; Magnoliopsida; Asterales; Asteraceae.